Saccostrea cuccullata (small rock oyster) is the source of this 733-nucleotide long non-coding RNA. RefSeq lists it as uncharacterized. The record is from RefSeq and is a predicted model, not a curated record. The transcript has 2 exons. Lineage: Eukaryota; Metazoa; Mollusca; Bivalvia; Ostreida; Ostreidae.
UGGUUGCAUGAAUAAGGAGUGUUGGGAGCUUCACCUGAUGGCUUAGUUGUUCGACCACCAACAUGCAGUGUAUUUUAUCAAACUCCAGAAGCCAAAGACGCCAUUCCUAAUAUUGUAGAGGUGAAGUGUCCAUAUACAGCAUCGUCUUCAACAGUAGCAGAUGGGGCACAAAAUUUGAAGGAUUUUUCAUAGAUCUUAAACAAGAUACCCUGUGCCUGAAAACCAGUCACCCAUACUAUCAUCAAAUUCAAGGCCAGCUACACAUAUGUAACAAAACAUUCUGCGACUUAAUUGUGUGGACAAGAGUAGACUGCAUUGUGAUUAGAAUAGUAAAAGACAUUGAAUGGACAGCAUAUGUUCCAAAGCUGAUAGAUUUCUACAUUAACAUUUUCAUUCCAGCACUGAUGGAAAACUGAGUUCUGGUUUGAACUUCUUGACACUUAGUUUUGUACCUCUAGAAUUUUCUAACAAUGGAAAAUGGGUAAUCAUGUUAAAUGUGUUGAAUGUUCCUAAGUCUCAUAAAUGUAUGAUAUGAUAUGUCACAAUCCAUCAUAAAACUUCUGGCUUAUAAGACUAUUUUAAAUAGCAAUGAUGAUUAAUAAAAUCUAUGUACUACAUAAAAAAAGAAUAUCAAAAUUUAGAAUCAUUUUAUUAAUGAAUUGAAGAUGUUAUUCUCAAAGUGAAAAUGUAACAUUUUGGUCUUUCUUAAUAGAUAAAUUGUUGAAAACAUGAA